GCAGCUGCGCCCCCGAGAAUCAUUUGAAACGGCAUUUCCACACGGGACAGCUCUCGGCAUACUACGUUGAUAACGUCUUACACAUAAGGUAACGUCGUACACAUAAGGAAUCAGUAUGGACAAGCAAGCCACGAGCCUGAUCGUAAACUACGGGAUUUUAAUUGUGUUGCUGCUGAUUCUCUGGGUGCUCUAUACCGGAAUGUAAUGGCUGGGGAAAAUUUCCAUUCAAGAUGUGAUCACAAAUCAGAGGUGUGAUGAUGCCACUCCCGUCACGUCCUGUCCGUCCAAGUCCUGUCACGUUUUUUUGGACAAGCCAAAAGUAGUCACUGGGGGCGUGUGCCAGCUCGACCUCCCAGGAUUGACAACGAUUGCCAGCACACAGACAUCUUACCCGGAUGACUGUACGACAGGCCAAGUUAUCCGCUGGAGUGAGCAGGUUCAAGGCACCUUCUAAACAAUUAAGCGAGCUAUAGCAUGUUGUGAUCAGCCACACCACUUUACAUAUUCAAAUUAACAUUGUAUAACCAUGUAUUAAAAAUUCAGUCACUGUAGAAGCGCAUCUUUCAUGCUACAUUGUGUAAUUUUUGUUUACCAGUGUGAUUUAAAAUAUGCUAUGGCAUCUAAGCAUUAGGCCAGUGAAUGUGCAAAUCGAGCGACUUUAGAAAGAAUACUUACAAGCCCGCGCUGUGUUCACUUAAUAUUUCUUGUCAAAGUUUCUGUUCAGUUUUAUCUGUUGUGUUACCUCAAUUUAUUUUGUUGUACAAACAGUUUUGAAGUUGUCUAGUCAGUUUGUACUCAUGAAUAUGUAGUAGCAUGAUUGUAUAGAGACAGGUCCCCUGUGUCGAAUGCUUGUUUGGUUUAUAACGUUGCGUACUACGGGAAUAAAACUUUACGAGUGAGUCAUUUAUUAAACCCGAUGUGAAGUGAAACCUCCUUCUGGAACAGAAAAAGCUAAGCGAAACAUUGAGAAAAUUCGGAGGUGAGCAAGAGAGACGGAUGCAGAUGAUAAAAUGCAGUUGACAACUGUGUCAUUUUCUUUUUCACCUUCAAAUAAAUACAGUGUCAGGUACACACCACUGCAAGUGUUGUGAAUACCCUUGUGCACUUCAAACAAAAAAGAAGAAAAAGUGAAUUUCAGAGAGAUUGUGAUAUCUAUAUUACAACACUUUUUGCAAAUGACUUCCUCAAACACAAUGAUGCUCAUGAAGAAUAAUUAUUUAUGUAUAUAAAAUAAAAAAAAGAUAAUAGUAAGCA
Long non-coding RNA from Ornithodoros turicata, 1254 nucleotides. RefSeq lists it as uncharacterized. Lineage: Eukaryota; Metazoa; Arthropoda; Arachnida; Ixodida; Argasidae. The transcript has 3 exons. The record is from RefSeq and is a predicted model, not a curated record.